RNAcentral lists this small nucleolar RNA (120 nucleotides) under Dasypus novemcinctus (nine-banded armadillo). Its description in RNAcentral is "Small nucleolar RNA SNORA38 (ENSDNOG00000030697.1)". It matches the Rfam family "Small nucleolar RNA SNORA38". From Rfam's summary of the family: ACA38 is a member of the H/ACA class of snoRNA that guide the sites of modification of uridines to pseudouridines. Lineage: Eukaryota; Metazoa; Chordata; Mammalia; Cingulata; Dasypodidae. The record is from RNAcentral.
CCCUCCUACAAAGGCGUGUCUGUGGUUUCCUGUCCUUGGACAUGUAAGAAUUGGAAGCAAAGAGAUGUGGACUUAAGAGACGUCUGCUUCCCGCAGGCUCAAGAUCAAGAUCACCCUUCU